Molecule: long non-coding RNA, 611 nt
Organism: Oxyura jamaicensis (ruddy duck)
Lineage: Eukaryota; Metazoa; Chordata; Aves; Anseriformes; Anatidae
Exons: 3
Source: RefSeq, a predicted model, not a curated record
GUGUUUUGGUUGUGUGUUGUUAUGUGUUUGUUUGUUUGUUUCCCUUCAGAGAUUCCCACCCUUUAAAAUCUGUUCAGCAACAUGAGUGAUGACAAUCCAAUUUUGAUCACAUUUAGGUAUUAUUUUUUAAAUGCCUAAAGUGUAAAAUAUUCAGCACAAAACAGAUGGGGUCGCAGGAAAUAAGGGUGACUGAGAAACGUGGGUUGUUGAGUCCUGCAUCCUAAAGGGAAAAGUUCCAUGGGGCAGAUUUACAUGUCAAGUGGGGUAAAGCUGAGUAGGGAAUGGAACAACAACAACGAAAAAAAAAACGCCAUCUUAACUGUCACUUUGAAGACCAGAUUAAAAUCUAUGCAAUUCACAUCUUUGUAGUACUACCUUUAUAGACCUUAGUUCUUUAAAACCAACUAGUACUAAAAACUCAAGCAUGUGGAAUGAAAAAUAUAUUCUGGGAUAUCCAAAUACAGGUCAUUGGAAUAUAUGAGUUUUCAUCUUUGAGAGACUUUAGAAAUUGGACUAGAGAGUCUUCUUAGGGAAAGGGAGGGGAAAAAGUACAUGUACUGUGGUCAAUACUGCUCUUGUGUUCUCCAAAAUCCAUAAACUUGAAGCGUAUC